GCCUGGGUGGCUCAGUGGUCAAAGCGUCUGCCUUCAGCUCAGGGCAUGAUCCUGAAGUCUUGGGAUCAAGUCCCACUCAGGCU
Molecule: transfer RNA, 83 nt
Filed under: Canis lupus familiaris (dog)
Lineage: Eukaryota; Metazoa; Chordata; Mammalia; Carnivora; Canidae
Also listed under: 1 other name
Rfam family: tRNA
About the family: Transfer RNA (tRNA) molecules are approximately 80 nucleotides in length. Their secondary structure includes four short double-helical elements and three loops (D, anti-codon, and T loops). Further hydrogen bonds mediate the characteristic L-shaped molecular structure. tRNAs have two regions of fundamental functional importance: the anti-codon, which is responsible for specific mRNA codon recognition, and the 3' end, to which the tRNAs corresponding amino acid is attached (by aminoacyl-tRNA synthetases). tRNAs cope with the degeneracy of the genetic code in two manners: having more than one tRNA (with a specific anti-codon) for a particular amino acid; and 'wobble' base-pairing, i.e. permitting non-standard base-pairing at the 3rd anti-codon position.
Source: Rfam by way of RNAcentral